RNAcentral lists this long non-coding RNA (3151 nucleotides) under Capsicum annuum. RNAcentral describes it as "long non-coding RNA (CANN_LNC003857)". Lineage: Eukaryota; Viridiplantae; Streptophyta; Magnoliopsida; Solanales; Solanaceae. The record is from RNAcentral.
UUCCCUCGUAAGGGGAAGAUAGUAAGGGGAAGCUAGAGCAACAUAUUGACAACUAUAAUCAGCAAUAUUGCCACCCGUAUAUUGACACGACACCUGAAAGAAUUAGAAACCCCAAAUCUUCUAAACCCCGAUCUAGCCAUUGUUAAAUCUUGAUCUUGAAAGAAUAUAAACCCCAAUCUUGCCAUUGAAUCUUGAAAUAAUCCCCAAUGUAGAAUGUUUGAAAGAAAAAUCCUUAUAGCUGCUGAUUAGGAUUAGUUAGGAUCUGCCGCCGGGAAGACCUUACCUAUGAGACCGUUGUAUAAAGCACAGAGACAAGCACCCAUGACAUUCAGUACUGCUGCUGUUACCUUUUGAACAGCGUGCUUACGGGCAUCUUCGAAAUUCUUUUUCUGAAAAUCAUCUUUCUUGAUCUGCUUUUUUAAUUUCUCGAUAAGCGGUGUAAAAUCAUCGCUGUCUCCAGCGGCAGCAUUGUUUCCGUCUCCAAUUGCUGGUGCACGCCCUGUGAUCUGUGCCUGUGAUUUUAUAGCCCUAGACAUUUGAAACAGUCCGAUUCCUAAGGCAAUAGGCAGGCCAAUUUUAAAGAUAAUAUCUUGUGAUUUACUCCAUAGUGUUGCCCCCCUAAUUUCUUCAUUGCCUUGUCGAACAAAAAGAUGAAUAGUUUUCGCGGCUCCAUCAAGACCCCUCAAUUGGUUGUAAACAAUUUGAUUCUCCGCAAGCAGAUACAGGAAGUUGUUCUCUGGUGGCUGAAGAGGCUGAAGAAAUUCUGAGACGGAUUCAAUCUCAAGAAGUAAAACUCUAUUGUCUCCACCUUGUUGUGCAUUUCCAUCCCCUCCACCGGCAUCUCCAUCCGCUUGGGGUUCUCCUCCACCAUUAAUGAUCCUCAACGUUCUUACGUUACGAACUAAAUGCAACAACUUUUCUCGGUGCACACCAUUGAUUCGGAAAAGAAUUCUUGGCGCUAUAUCUGCUGCAACUUCCGGUACUUGCUGUACUAUGGAAACAGAGACUACUUGUAGAAGAAGUAUUGGAACAGCCAUGGUAAGUGAUUGUGCAAAUGGUGGUAAGUGAUUGUGCAAAUGUUCACUUUUAACACCUCAAGUAGCCAUAAAGAGUGUCAUUUUGGCACCUUUUGCUGAAUCAGCAAAAAUCGUGUGCUACACGCAUUGAAAACGCGUUUGAGGGGUUUUUUGUGGAGUAUUUUCAUAAUUUUUCAUCUUUAAAUUUUUUUAGAAUUAUUGAAAAUCUCUAUUGCGGUAUGGACUGCGUACAUUUUACCUUCGCCAAACCCACAAAGUGGGAGAACACUGGGUUUGUUGUUGUUGGUGUUGUCUAUUGUCAAAUCAGCAAUAAUUGGUCCAAUGAACUAAUGACACGUGUUUUAUUGACCUAAUAAUUACAAAAAAACCCUCACAUUGUCUUCUCCACACAACCUUUCUUUAGCUUAACUUCCAUUAAUGGAGAUUGAAUGUUUCAACAAUCAACGAAACACACUAACACACUAACAAAAUUAACAAAUACUACUACACAACAACAACUUCACGAAUUCACCUCCUCCAUAUUUACACCUUCAAUUCCCACUAACAGUUCCUUCUCCAUGAACAACUAAGUGGUUGACAAAUAUGCAAAUGGAGAAUCAUUCAUCUAUAAAUAUUACCAAAAGAAAAUAAUUUGUAGAAAAAAAGAACUGACUCUUGCCUCUUCCCUAUUAUAUAUAUAGGAGACAAUCUGUUUUUACUUCUUCUUUAACAUUUGCACAUUUACCACCAUUUGCAUUAUCAAAAGAAAAUAAUUUGUAGAGAAAAAGAACUGAGUCUUGCCUCCCUCCCUAUUAUAUAUAUAGGAUAGGGAAUCUUUUUUUACUUCUUUUUCAACCAUUUGAACAAUCACUUACCACCAUUUGCACAAUCACUUACCAUGGCUGUUCCAAUACUUCUUCUACAAGUAGUCUCUGUUUCCAUAGUACAGCAAGUACCGGAAGUUGCAGCAGAUAUAGCGCCAAGAAUUCUUUUCCGAAUCAAUGGUGUGCACCGAGAAAAGUUGUUGCAUUUAGUUCGUAACGUAAGAACGUUGAGGAUCAUUAAUGGUGGAGGAGAACCCCAAGCGGAUGGAGAUGCCGGUGGAGGGGAUGGAAAUGCACAACAAGGUGGAGACAAUAGAGUUUUUCUGCUCUUCACAAACUAACAAGAUUGUCCACUUAGAGAGCUGUCGAUGGGUUUGGCCUCUAAUUACUGUGCUGGUCUAUUUGUUUUUAUCUUCUCUGCUAUUGUAUCUUGUGAAUCUUUUAAUUUUUCAAAUCACAACAUUGGAUAAGUUGCUAUUCAUUUACUUGAAAUAUGAUCAUCGCAAAACUAUGACUCAUAAGUUUUUGACUCUAAGAGGUAAUUCAAGCACUUUUUCCUUCUAAUAUCAUAUGCUUAGUUAUAUUGCUAAGUGAUUGUGAAAGCUAUAACAGGUACAACAAAAUAAUAGGAUGUGACGAAAAUUGAAAAUAACCCAUUAUCUGAAAAAAUAAUAGAAUGUGACGAAAAUUGAAAAUAACCCAUAAUCUGAAAGACUGGCCAGUAACAUUUCAAUAUUUUGCUUAGAUUGAGAGAGGCUAAAAAAAAAUUAAACAGGAAGUUUUAUUUAAUUAGAUUAUCCCAUCCCCCUCAAUCAAAUUAUACUCCACAUGAACAUUCAUUGGACAAUCUAAAUGAAAGAUUAAAACUUCUCUUUAUCCAUGAUAAAAAGGGGCAGUUGAGUCAGUUACUAUUCUCUUGUGCUAAAAUCUCUCUACUUUAGCUCACCAUUCUAUCAUUUUUUCAAAACUCAAGAAAGAUGCCAAGAACUAAGGAUGGAUUGUGAAUAUGGACAAUCUUGUUAGUUUGUGAAGAGCAGAAAAACAAUGAAAUGGUCCGAACAGUGACAACCUUGACACCUUCUCUAAAUGUAUCCUCAAAAUCAACAUCCUCAAUUUGAUUAUAUCAUUUAGCAACCAAGCAAGCUUUAAAUCGUUCCAAAAAUUCAUCGAUAUGAAAUUUUGUUUUAAAUAGCCAACGAAAACAACAUUCUUGAUAAGCUACCGAGGAAUCAAUGUCUAGGUAUCGUGAGAUCUCAAAGCUUGUAGGCUUAGACAAGUCGACUUUAAUGAUUUUUGGUUUAACUAUGUCAG